UUUCCACCAACAUAACUGAUUAGAUAUAAAGAGAUGGAGAAGUUUUCAUUCAAUUUAUUUAUAUUCGUUGUAAUCUUAAUCUUUGCAACUCAUUUAGAGAUGAUGGCAGAGGCAAAAGGACCUGUCAUUUCGUGUAGAUGCAACAAAACUGAAGAUUGUGAUGGUAUUUGCGCCUUGUACUCCAACUAUAAGUGCAAUAAUAACCGUUGUACCUGCCUUUCAGACGCACCUCCAUUUUCAUUGUUUUAAAAUUUACACACUCCUAUAAUUAAAUUAAAUGGUGGGAUUUUUUGUAUAAUUUGAAAUAAAUUAUCAUGCAAUGGAUUUAAUAAAAAAUAUUAUUGUUAUUUUAUUUUAA
Molecule: long non-coding RNA, 358 nt
Organism: Gossypium arboreum
Lineage: Eukaryota; Viridiplantae; Streptophyta; Magnoliopsida; Malvales; Malvaceae
Exons: 2
Source: RefSeq, a predicted model, not a curated record